AGUGAACGCUGGCGGUAGGCCUAACACAUGCAAGUCGAACGGCAGCACAGUAAGAGCUUGCUCUUACGGGUGGCGAGUGGCGGACGGGUGAGGAAUACAGCGGAAUCUACUUUUUCGUGGGGGAUAACGUAGGGAAACUUACGCUAAUACCGCAUACGACCUACGGGUGAAAGCAGGGGAUCUUCGGACCUUGCGCGAUUGAAUGAGCCGAUGUCGGAUUAGCGAGUUGGCGGGGUAAAGGCCCACCAAGGCGACGAUCCGUAGCUGGUCUGAGAGGAUGAUCAGCCACACUGGAACUGAGACACGGUCCAGACUCCUACGGGAGGCAGCAGUGGGGAAUAUUGGACAAUGGGCGCAAGCCUGAUCCAGCCAUACCGCGUGGGUGAAGAAGGCCUUCGGGUUGUAAAGCCCUUUUGUUGGGAAAGAAAAGCAGCAGGUUAAUACCCCGCUGUUCUGACUGUACCCAAAGAAUAAGCACCGGCUAACUUCGUG
RNAcentral lists this ribosomal RNA (492 nucleotides) under uncultured bacterium. Its description in RNAcentral is "partial 16S ribosomal RNA". It matches the Rfam family "Bacterial small subunit ribosomal RNA", at positions 29 to 507 of the family's 1533-position model. The record is from RNAcentral.